This 465-nucleotide ribosomal RNA is filed under the name uncultured bacterium. RNAcentral's name for it is "bacterial SSU rRNA". It matches the Rfam family "Bacterial small subunit ribosomal RNA", at positions 32 to 506 of the family's 1533-position model. The record is from RNAcentral.
AUCAACGCUGGCGGCGUGCCUCAGACAUGCAAGUCGAACGAUUAAAGCUCUCUUCGGAGAGUGUAUAGAGUGGCGCACGGGUGAGUAACACGUAAGUAAUCUACCUUUGAGUGGGGAAUAACAGUCGGAAACGACUGCUAAUACCGCAUAAUGCAGCGGCACCGCAAGGUGACAGUUGUUAAAGGAGCAAUUCGCUUAAAGAGGAGCUUGCGGCAGAUUAGCUAGUUGGUAAGGUAAUGGCUUACCAAGGCUACGAUCUGUAUCCGGUCUAAGAGGACGGUCGGACACACUGACACUGAAUAACGGGUCAGACUCCUACGGGAGGCAGCAGUCGGGAAUUUUGGGCAAUGGGCGAAAGCCUGACCCAGCAACGCCGCGUGAAGGAUGAAGUAUUUCGGUAUGUAAACUUCGAAAGAAUAGGAAGAAUAAAUGACGGUACUAUUUAUAAGGUCCGGCUAACUACGU